AUGCAAUCACCCGAUUGGCAGAAUCAUACAGAAGCAAUAGCGCGGCGCAAGCUAACACCAUAUACGUACAAACCAGAGGAGCGCAGCAGCGAUCCAAACUCCAGUGAGAUGGCCGCGGCAGCUCACCUCCGUUGUCACAUCGUCUUCAAUUCGGCGAGCAACACCCGGCGUCACACGCAGGCCUCCGCCCCGUCGCUCUCGCGCGGUCGCCUCCCAACUGCCCGAAAGCCUCCCGUGGCCGCCUGCCAGCGCCACGGCGUAGGGACCUUGGAACUAGACGGCGGAGCGACGAGGCGGCCGGCGCCGCGGUUCCUGUGCCUGCACGGGUUCCGCACCAGCGGGGAGAUCAUGCGGAGGCAGGUGGCGGACAGGUGGCCCGCCGACGUCACGUCCCGCCUGGACCUCGCCUUCGCCGACGCGCCCUUCCCCGCCGAGGGCGACUCCCCGGUGCGCGGCGUCUUCGACCCGCCCUACUACGAGUGGUGCCACUUCGUCGGCGAGGAUUUCCUCAAGUACAAGAACUUCGGCGAGUCCCUGGCCAGCAUCGAGGUGUGA
Molecule: ribosomal RNA, 555 nt
Filed under: Triticum aestivum (bread wheat)
Lineage: Eukaryota; Viridiplantae; Streptophyta; Magnoliopsida; Poales; Poaceae
Description: partial small subunit ribosomal RNA
Source: RNAcentral